Molecule: ribosomal RNA, 422 nt
Filed under: uncultured bacterium
Lineage: Bacteria
Description: bacterial SSU rRNA
Rfam family: Bacterial small subunit ribosomal RNA
Source: RNAcentral
UGAGGAAUAUUGGGCAAUGCCCGAAAGGGUGACCCAGCAACGCCGCGUGGAGGAUGAAGGUCGUAAGAUUGUAAACUCCUGUUAGAGGGGAAAAAUAACUAAGUUUGGAGCUUAGUAUGACUGUACCCUCAGAGAGAGCCCCGGCUAACUACGUGCCAGCAGCCGCGGUAAUACGUAGGGGGCAAGCGUUGUCCGGAUUUACUGGGUGUAAAGGGCGCGCAGGCGGAAUGGAAAGUCAGUGGUGAAAUCCUACAGCUUAACUGUAGAACUGCCUUUGAUACUUUCAUUCUUGAGUUCGGGAGAGAGAGACGGAAUUCCAGGUGUAGUGGUGAAAUACGUAGAUAUCUGGAAGAACACCAGUUGCGAAGGCGGUCUCUUGGUCCGAUACUGACGCUGAGGCGCGAAAGCGUGGGGAGCAAACA